This 220-nucleotide ribosomal RNA is filed under the name uncultured bacterium. RNAcentral describes it as "partial 16S ribosomal RNA". It matches the Rfam family "Bacterial small subunit ribosomal RNA", at positions 493 to 712 of the family's 1533-position model. The record is from RNAcentral.
CCGGCUAACUUCGUGCCAGCAGCCGCGGUAAUACGAAGGGACCUAGCGUAGUUAGGAAUUAAUGGGAUUAAAGAGUUCGUAGGUGGUUAAAAAAGUUGGUGGUGAAAUCCCAGAGCUUAACUUUGGAACUGCCAUCAAAACUUUUUAGCUAGAGUUUGAUAGAGGAAAGCAGAAUUUCUAGUGUAGAGGUGAAAUUCGUAGAUAUUAGAAAGAAUACCAA